RNAcentral lists this ribosomal RNA (446 nucleotides) under uncultured bacterium. Its description in RNAcentral is "bacterial SSU rRNA". It matches the Rfam family "Bacterial small subunit ribosomal RNA", at positions 97 to 518 of the family's 1533-position model. The record is from RNAcentral.
GGCGGACGGGUGCGUAACACGUGGGUAAUCUACCUUCCGGCGGGGGACAACAGUCCGAAAGGAUUGCUAAUACCGCAUACGUCAGCGAGGUCUACGGACCUUGUUGGGAAAGAUGGCCUCUCCUUGGAAGCUGUCACCGGAAGAUGAGCCCGCGUCCCAUCAGCUAGUUGGCGAGGUAAUGGCUCACCAAGGCUUAGACGGGUAGCUGGUCUGAGAGGAUGAUCAGCCACACUGGGACUGCGACACGGCCCAGACUCCUACGGGAGGCAGCAGUGGGGAAUAUUGGGCAAUGGGCGAAAGCCUGACCCAGCCACGCCGCGUGAGUGAUGAAGGCCUUCGGGUCGUAAAGCUCUGUGGGGAGGGACGAAUAAGUGCCGUGCUAACAUCACGGCGCCCUGACGGUACCUCCUUAGCCAAGCACCGGCUAACCAUGUGCCAGCAGCCGC